Molecule: ribosomal RNA, 323 nt
Filed under: uncultured bacterium
Lineage: Bacteria
Description: bacterial SSU rRNA
Rfam family: Bacterial small subunit ribosomal RNA
Source: RNAcentral
AUCAACGCUGGCGGCGUGCCUCAGACAUGCAAGUCGAACGGAUCUAUCCAACGGGUAACUGAAGGGUAGAUUAGUGGCGAACGGGUGAGGAAUACAUGGACAACGUACCCUGGACACGGGGAGUAGCGGCGGGCCGCAAGGCUCUUUAGCGAAAGUGCCGGUAAUACCCGACUGAUCCCGCAUGGUCGCAUGAUCGUGUGGGCAAAGCUCCGACGGUCUGGGAGCGGUUCAUGCCCUACUCAGCUAGUUGGUGAGGUAACGGCUCACCAAGGCGGCGACGGGUACCGGGCGUGAGAGCGUGACCCGGCACAUCGGAACUGAGA